GCCAGCACUCCUCCAAGCUGGUGGCUCCCUUAAUCUCCCUGUUGCUAGGGCAUGCUGACAUGCUCCACUGGUACUAGUUCCAGCAUGGUGUGGGGGACUGCGGAAAGAAAGAGUAAAGGGCUGAUCAAACAGAGUCCAAUUUGGGAAAAAAAAGAAAGAAAGAAAGAAAAAAAAAAAGUAGCUCUUUUAGAUGGGGAUAGGAAAUUCACAAUGGGGGCAAGUAGAGGGUGAAUGAUAAGGCCUAAAGGACCUCAUUAAAUUGAGGCCAGCUGUGCAGACUUACCUUAUUUCACUCUCUUUCUCCUGCCACCCCCAUGAUAGAGAACUUCUAUCAAAGUGGUGAGGCAGGAUGACUUCCUCAUAAAAUGUUUGAUGGAAAUAAAAGUAGAAUUGUUUUCCUGAGAAUUUUUGUAAAUCCACCCUUUAAAUGUUUGGGAAGCAAGCUGGAGCCUCAGUGAAGUGUGCUGCUUGAUUGAAUAUAUGCUGCAGGUGAGAGUCCCACGGAUCAUUACCAUUUCCUCCUCACCUCAUCUGGACUCCCAGGAAACAGAAGGUGAAAGUUAAAUAGGGCACACAGAGCUCCAGAGAGGCAGAAGUCAACCUCCAAGUGUAAAUGACCUCUGGUAAGUGGCUACUAUUUGCUGCCUCAGAAGGCCAAGGAUUCCACCACAGCAUGUCUCAGUGAGCGUAUGGGUAUCUUGAGGAGCUGGAGGCUUCGGGCAGCUGCAAGCUGACAGAACCAGUGUUGGAGAGCUGGAAAGCAACGCUCACCUUCUGCCUGGAAGGCGAAAGAGAAGAGGGACUUGAGAAGAGGGACUUGCCAACUGCACAAGGGAUGGGUCAGGAGCAGGAGCUGCGUACCAGGGCUUCAGGUGUGAGGAGCUCCAGCAGGGCCUCUGCCUGCUGCCCCAAGUGCCCUGCUCCCAGUGUGUUUAGCAUUAUAGUGAAUCAAAGAAACACGUUUCUAUCACCCCGCUCAUUCUAGGGGGCUCCCGAAGCACACAGCUGGAGGAUUCAUUCUCUCACUACUGAAACACAGCCCCUUUUGGGGGCAGAGCACUGCAGCUGUUUAAUAGCUCACAGCAACAUCACACAAGCAGAUGGAAAAGAAAGCCAAAUGUGUAAGAAGUGUUCUUUCCACUUUCCUUCUAACCUUUCCUUUCUCUCCUCUUUGUCUCAAGCUUUUUCUGUCGGUUUCAGACAACUCCAGAUGCAUGUCUUUCCCACCAAUAUCUGAAGGAUUUGGCCCUGCAGAGGGGGAUCUGCUGCCAACUUGCUUCUUGUAGGGCUCCCAGCCCAGGGGUCUGCAGCCUGCUGCUGUGCUGUCCCCCCAUGUUGUGCUGCUGGACAGGCAGGAGCGCUGCAAGGGCUGGCUCUGCCUUCUUCCAGGGGAGGGGAGCCUUGAUGUAGUUUGUUUGACACAGACAAGGCUCUCCUGCCUUCGAAGUAUACUAGAUGACUGCAUUAAAGCCCUGAGGUAACCAAAGGUGGGCCUGGACCUGGAUCUCCCCUGAACUUGAUGGGAAAAGGAACUGUGCAUCCAAGCUUCACAGCAGGCCCUUCUCCCUACCAUGCAACAAAAACCCAAGUCUCUUCUCAGUAAGAGGAGGUGUUGGGCAUAUGCCAGGAUAGCAAAUGUAAACAGGCAGCACCUCAUCAUUCCUUAGAGGGUGCUACCAGUAGACGCACACCCUGAAGGACAGCAGCACUGAACCUCAUGGAGAGUCUAUGGGAGAGACGGUUUAUGGAGAUGUCUGAGGUACAAAGAGCCCCCAGUGUUCUGCAACACAGUGGCGUGUGUUGGCCCUAAGGCACUUACUGGUGCGUGAGCCUAUGUGUUGCCAGCAGCCAUGCCACAGUAAAACUCUGGAGUAAUGCAGUGAGUUCAGUCCUGCAACAGUGUUAGAAAGUCUGUCAGGCAGGUAAGCAACCUCAGUAACGUAAGAGAAAAGGGAGGCAGUCUUCUGCCUUCUCAAGAUGCCUUUUGCUUUGGAAAGAGAGGGAAUCAAGUCCCUGAAAAAGAGUUUGAAGACUGCUCCACAUCCACAAUCUACAACCCUGGCAUGGUUUCCCCGUGCCCUAAAGCAGAGGCAAAAAUAGGAGGUGAAUAUAUUCAUUACCACAAACUGCAUAGUGAAACCAUCAGAAUGGGUAUUCUAAAAAAAGAAAUGAAACCUUUGCUUACGAAUAGACCUAAAAGAAUUGAAUACAUGUGUACAGAGGGAUCAUUUUCCACUACCUACAAGAGGAAAAAUCUCUGGGGAAGUGGCUGAUGCCAAAUAUUUUCUUAUGCUUCAUGUGUCAGCAGGGGCUCGCAGAAGCCCUUAAAAAACAGAACACGCAUUUUGUGCAAAUUGAGAAUCACAGUUUCUGGUGAUUUAGACUGCUUCACCAAACUUGAGACAUUUCUCCAAAAAUACAACAGAUGUCUGAUGAUGGACCAAGUUUUCAGCAUUUACACAGAUCAGAUGAUGUUAAGAUCAGCAGAAAAAAAACCAACACAGAAUAACAUGCUAAAGGGCUUCAGAGCUGCCUGAGAAGAAACUAAGCUGGCUAGACAGACAAAAAUGCUAAUUUCUCACAGCAACUAUAAAACGCUGUCCAGAGACACUGUCAGAGCCAGGUAUACAGCAAGGUUACAGAGGAGCUGAGAUGUGUGCAGAAGCAGCGGGCACAAAUACUUGCUGAAAUGAGAGCCCUAGGAGAUGUGCGCAACUCGGUCGUGUGACCUGCCAACCUCAGGGCACUGCUGUAAGGCAUCCAGCUGACUUUGGCUACAAAUGAUAACAACUGCAGAAAAUGAAAGAGGUGACUGAAGAGGAGGCAGCCCCAUGGUAUCUUAACGGCACACACGAGACAGAGUUGUCCCCAGAAGAGAACUGAGCUAAUGGUCUUGCUAUAUAGUCAGAACUGGAGGACAGUAAUUUCUGUGCAAUAAACACUAACAAAACCUGACUGUCAGAGAGAAAGGAUUUGGCAUUUGCCCAAGAAUGUAAAAAGUUUCCUCGAUUAUGAUUUAAUUUUUAAGAGAACCGACCGUAAGCCACUUGCUGUGAUUGCCAAACUGGCCUGACAAACCCCCUCUCCUCACAGACACGAAGAAUUUUUUUUCACUUACGAAUUUAUGAUUUGCAGAUUGGGAGGGAUUUGGCAGGUUCAAACUUAAUCCCUGGAGCAUUUGAUGAAAAUACAAUGAUGCAAAGUCCAGAGCUAGACUUUGUAGGUGAUGAUUUGCUUAAAAAUGGUGGGGAUGAAAUCCAGCAGAAAAUGUAAGAGACGGUCACUGAAUAGUCUCAGCUUUGUUACUGACUUCAGAUAAAGUAUGAAUGUACAAAAAAUGAUAUAACCUCUCUUGAUGGUUAUUUUCUACUUGAGUAAAGGUAACUUUACUGUAAGGAACUAGUACUAAAAACAUGGCAGGGUACAUCAAACUUCUCGCUGCUAUACAUACCGUACCUGCCAAGGGAAACAAGCUCUGACAAUGGAGCAGGAAUAAAUAAAUGUAAGACAUCUGCAGUAUAUACAGAUUUAGUUCUCCUACUCUAGCUUCAUUAUUCCUCAUCAAAUGAGUAGGUAGGAAAUAGUAUCAAAAGAAGCUGGCAACUACUGAGAAAAUGUGUGGAAUUAGGCUGUUUUAAAUCUCUUAUAUCAAGGUGGAACCCAUGAAGGAAGUGCGUCAACUACUGAUAUUUUGUAUGAUGGAAAAAUAAAAUGAAAUUCUUUUAGUUCCUUUAGUCUCUCAAUUCCCCCUCAUCUUCAGGGGUUCCCUUUAAGUCACAGGUGUUUGGAAGAAGAGUAGAGAGAGUCCAGGGCACAGCAAACUCCUAACAAAAUGACCUACCACCCUUAACAACUGUAGGAGUGAUUUUCCAGAGAUGCAAGCAAUGCCACCAGUUCCUCAAGAUUCAUCAAGCAGGGUUUACAUGUUAUUGGUUGUAAUUGUUUGCAGCCAUGUAUUAACACAUCUCUGAAUUCUGAUUUGGAAAACUCAGUGAUUGGAGGACCUCUAGCAUUAACAAAUGCCCUUUCCAGUUUGUGAAUCUCAAUCAGGUGCUGCAAAGCCCUCAUUUUAUUGUGAACAGCUGGAUGAAACCAAAUGCAUAACAAAGCAAAUCUUUCACAAGCAGCUUAAGCACUGGAUGCACAAUGAGGACAAUUGCAUUUCAGCCCAGAUGUAGUUGCACUUAAGCCACAGGGAAGUAAUUCAUUUAUAUGCAAACUUCUCAAGCACUUUGGGAUGAGAGUACUAUACACAAUCAGUUUAAUACACUCUACUUAUGUGACAAACUCCCGUUUUGUAUUAUUGUUUUCCUAGUUUUGCUGUGCCAAUCAUACUGCAACCCCUCGUCUUCAUUCUGAUCGUGGUGGAACAGCAGGCAGAUACUUUCAAAAAAUCCAGCAGAAUUAAAAACUUGCAAUGGAUAUUGUUCCUAUGCGUGCAUCCUGCCCAUGCUCAGAAACCGUUAAUGUUCCAUUUCUUUCUUCCAGGCCAACAAGUGGCUGCCGAUAUUCAUGUGGCAUUAAUGUGGCUUUGAACACUCAGUGUACUUUACCCAUAAGGUAGCAAAUCCUAGGCACUGUUUGUGGUGCUUGAGCAUCUCUUUCAGGGUCCCUCCUGCCUUCACUUUCUACUGUGAUGCUCUCCUGCCUCAGCAGAAACAACCAACCUACACACCAACAGCUGCAAAUUCUUCCUGAUUUGAGAAGUCUUCUGGAACAAUUUGGUAACUUGCUCUAUUCCUUUUUGUGGAACCCCGCAAAAAAUGUCUGAAGUGACUGUGUUAUCUAGUAGGUAAAUAAGGAGAUUAGAAACCCUGAAACCACCUUUGGUCUUGUACAGUACUGCUGAAAAUAGACAUCACAUGAUGUCUAAAUUAAGUAUGUGUUGACUGCCUAAGGCAGCUUCACCCCAAAUCGAAUGCCACUGUAUCAUGCAGUGCCUACACAGCUUCCCGUCUUUUGUUUCCUCAUCUGUAACACUCAGCCAUCCUAAGGGUGUAUUGAGAGUUCACUGGCAUUUCAGAAGACUUUUGAGAUUCUUGGAAGAACAAUCUAGUAUGAACACAAAACAGCUGAUAUUAUUUCUUCCUUUUUUAGUGACAUUCCUCUGCUGCUGAUAUUAUGCUCUCACAUUCCUGAGCUAAGCUUGUUUGAGGGACUUGAUUUUAGUUGGGCUUAAAAUCUGUUUUCUUCCACAGAGAGGAUGCUGAAAUACACCUUUAAGCACAGCAAACCUCAAAUGCUUGGAAGCCCUGCAUUCAAGGUCUCUUCAAACUGCCUUCAUCUGACCUUCUUCAUCUUUCUUGAUAAACUCAAACAAGGAAAGCUAGAACAGUUCAAUACAAGCAUGUUCUGCAUACCCUGUAGCCUCGUGCAAUUUGAACAAACGAUUUAGUACAGAUUAGAAGGUUUGGUUUCUAGCCAAAAAUCUGCAAUUAGAUACCCACAUGAUUCCAGUUUUUGACAGGAGGCAUAGUCCCAAAUUUGAAUAUAAAUUCCCACUCCAGGACCAAAGCUCUAUGUGGACUAUGUGUGUAGACACACCUUCUAGAAGCCUUGUAAAUACAAUCACCUCUUUUUUUCUCCAUCUAAAAAACUGGGACUGCAAUAGAGGUGUUUAGAGAAGUUCAUUUCUAGAAGUAUUUACAAAAGUUAAAUAUUGCUUGUUUCAGUCUUGUUCCAUUAUGAAGAAGUCCUGUAAUGUUUUCAUCCUCUGUUAAAGAGUUCUUCACUUGCACUCUUUACGUUGCUUAAUUAAAUUGUACCAGGUUGUUUCACGAGUUGGCCUCUCUUAUGGCUUUCUGCAGUUACAGAGCGAUGGAAGAGGGGUGUUUAGAGAGCAAGUAACAGAGGGAAUUGUUGACAAAAGGUUUCAGCUCCCUGGCUGUGCUCUCUAAGCAGCUCUGUCUGCAACAGCUCUUCUUUCAUGUUGCGUCUUUGACAGAACAAUUCCCAUUCAAAAAGCAUCAGCAAGCACUAGAAGCACACCCACAUGUUAGGUGCUCAAGCACAAUCCCUGUAGCUCUUGAAUUUCCCUCUCUGCAGGGAGGCCUUAACUUGGUGAUGCCAUUGUGAAUGGAUGAGUGGGAGAAAGACAUUAUCAGUAACAGUGGGUAAUGCAAAUGACAAUUUGCAUUAAGAUGGUGUCAGGCUUGGUCCAUGGCUUUCCACGAAGAUAUUGGUGCUAAAGCAUCUCCUGGGCAGGGCUGAGCCUUCAGAGGAGGAGAGCUGAAAUAAUCCCUGAUCCAGGAUGAGGGCACCAGAAGAGCUCUGUACCUCAAGGGUAGUGGAGGAGCCCUGCUGGCUGCAGCAAUGGAACUGGGGCCUACGGAGGCCUCAGAGCAGAAGAAAUCACACCUGUCCCUCCUGAGGUUGUGUGGAGCUCAGCUGGGGAAGUGGGCUUGUUAUGCUGGCUGUACCAUCAGCCGGUCCCUUUGGAAGUCAUGCUGGACUCUGAGAGACGGCAGUUCCCUUCAACACGCCCAGUCACACAUAGCUAAUGGAACCAGGAUUAUUGCAGCAAUUUAGGAAAAAAAAAAAAGGAAAGCAUGUAUUGCCAGGUUGGAUAAAACGUAAGGCUUGAUGUGGGCAGAGCUCCUGCCAGCUGAAGUGUUUGCACCUGGUCUUACUGGAAAUCCACGGGGCAGAAGAUUCUUGCUGAAGUGUUUGUGUUGCCAUCAGCAUGGCAGCGACUCUCCCGCACGUACUCAGACACCCAGGAGGCCAGGGCUCAGGGCUCUUCGAGGAGGUCAGUUUUUAUAUAGUAAAGCAAACAGUUUAGCUAAUCAAGGAUAUUUUUUCUUUUCUCUUCUGAGGCUCUUGGCAUCCAGCCCUGUUACUUGCAAUCUUUAAUUUGUACUGUGGCUUCCUUUUCCCUGCUGCCUUCUCACUCACUCCAAUUUUCCCACACACUUGUUUCCUAACUCUACCUCCUAUGGAGGUCGUCAUUUAUUUCAGACCCAAAUUUAUCUCAGUCCUACACAACGCUGCUGUUACCUCACCGUUUAUUCCUGUAAAAGACUGUCACUGGAUAUUCAUGAGAUUGACAAGUUUGUGGAAAAACAAUGGAGCCAUUUUUUGUAAGAUAGAAAAUAGUUGAUGGUUACAUCAGAUAGUUGUAAAUUUAUUCAUACACACUUGUAUAAAUCGAUUGUAUAUCAACUUGGACCUUCUUUUUGGUUAUACAGCUGUCUGAAUGGCAACAGUGG
RNAcentral lists this long non-coding RNA (7208 nucleotides) under Gallus gallus (chicken). Lineage: Eukaryota; Metazoa; Chordata; Aves; Galliformes; Phasianidae. The record is from RNAcentral.